CUCAACCUGGGAAUUGCAUGGAGACUGCAAGGCUAGAAUCUGGCAGAGGGGGGUAGAAUUCCACGUGUAGCAGUGAAAUGCGUAGAUAUGUGGAGGAACACCGAUGGCGAAGGCAGCCCUCUGGGUCAAGAUUGACGCUCAUGCACGAAAGCGUGGGGAGCAAACAGGAUUAGAUACCCUGGUAGUCCACGCCCUAAACGAUGUCUACUAGUUGUCGGGUCUUAAUUGACUUGGUAACGCAGCUAACGCGUGAAGUAGACCGCCUGGGGAGUACGGUCGCAAGAUUAAAACUCAAAGGAAUUGACGGGGACCCGCACAAGCGGUGGAUGAUGUGGAUUAAUUCGAUGCAACGCGAAAAACCUUACCUACCCUUGACACGGCUGGAAUCCUCGAGAGAUCGGGGAGUGCUCGAAAGAGAACCA
Molecule: ribosomal RNA, 422 nt
Filed under: uncultured beta proteobacterium
Lineage: Bacteria; Pseudomonadati; Pseudomonadota; Betaproteobacteria
Description: bacterial SSU rRNA
Rfam family: Bacterial small subunit ribosomal RNA
Source: RNAcentral